RNAcentral lists this ribosomal RNA (491 nucleotides) under uncultured bacterium. RNAcentral describes it as "partial 16S ribosomal RNA". It matches the Rfam family "Bacterial small subunit ribosomal RNA", at positions 29 to 506 of the family's 1533-position model. The record is from RNAcentral.
AGUGAACGCUGGCGGUAGGCCUAACACAUGCAAGUCGAACGGCAGCACAGUAAGAGCUUGCUCUUACGGGUGGCGAGUGGCGGACGGGUGAGGAAUGCAUCGGAAUCUACUUUUUCGUGGGGGAUAACGUAGGGAAACUUACGCUAAUACCGCAUACGACCUACGGGUGAAAGCAGGGGAUCUUCGGACCUUGCGCGAUUGAAUGAGCCGAUGUCGGAUUAGCUAGUUGGCGGGGUAAAGGCCCACCAAGGCGACGAUCCGUAGCUGGUCUGAGAGGAUGAUCAGCCACACUGGAACUGAGACACGGUCCAGACUCCUACGGGAGGCAGCAGUGGGGAAUAUUGGACAAUGGGCGCAAGCCUGAUCCAGCCAUACCGCGUGGGUGAAGAAGGCCUUCGGGUUGUAAAGCCCUUUUGUUGGGAAAGAAAAGCAGCAGGUUAAUACCCCGCUGUUCUGACGGUACCCAAAGAAUAAGCACCGGCUAACGUCGU